CGGGAUAAGCCUGGGAAACUGGGUCUAAUACCGGAUAGGACGAUGGUUUGGAUGCCAUUGUGGAAAGUUUUUCGGUGUGGGAUGAGCUCGUGGCCUAUCAGCUUGUUGGUGGGGUGAUGGCCUACCAAGGCGACGACGGGUAGCCGGCCUGAGAGGGUGAUCGGCCACAUUGGGACUGAGAUACGGCCCAG
RNAcentral lists this ribosomal RNA (191 nucleotides) under uncultured Actinomycetales bacterium. Its description in RNAcentral is "partial 16S ribosomal RNA". It matches the Rfam family "Bacterial small subunit ribosomal RNA", at positions 139 to 334 of the family's 1533-position model. Lineage: Bacteria; Bacillati; Actinomycetota; Actinomycetes; Actinomycetales. The record is from RNAcentral.